UGAGAAAGGGUUGAUACUCUGAAGUAUCCCGCAUGUCCUUUUUGGGAUGACUCAAUAGCAAUGCCUUAAGAUCAUUGGACAAGGCAUGACCCACAAGAACCCUUCCUUUAAUCAUCUCUGCAACUUUCUUCUGAACAGUUGGGAAAUCCUUUGCUUUCCUCAAGUGUUGGGGUCGAAUGCCACUAAUUUUUGUACGGAAGUCAACAACACGUUCUAUUGGGCGAACAAACUCAUCAUGCAUAACAUUUCCCCACUGAUUCACCAGUGUUACGCGUCCAAGAGCACUUCUGUUUCCUUGACCAGUGCCAACCAUUUCACAAUCAAUGGCUAUCACAUCUGUCAGACUGAAAUCAUCAUUAGUUGGAGCUAAAGGAUUCAGCUGAGACUCGUCAGAUGCUUUAUCGGGUCUCUCUUUACGCUUCCCUAAUAUAGAUUUUUGGGUUUCUGAGUUUGAAUUAUUUGAGGGCCUUGAAGGCCUAGAGCCAUGGCUUUUAAGCUUUUGUUGGAGCUGCGCCCAGUUGGGAUUGAGCGGUAAAUGCUGCUGCUUAGGGUUUUUUUUCUUCU
Molecule: unclassified non-coding RNA, 564 nt
Filed under: Hevea brasiliensis (rubber tree)
Lineage: Eukaryota; Viridiplantae; Streptophyta; Magnoliopsida; Malpighiales; Euphorbiaceae
Source: RNAcentral